This 356-nucleotide unclassified non-coding RNA is filed under the name Hevea brasiliensis (rubber tree). The record is from RNAcentral. Lineage: Eukaryota; Viridiplantae; Streptophyta; Magnoliopsida; Malpighiales; Euphorbiaceae.
UAAGAUAGGGUGCUUCAGCACCGAGUGUGACAUACUUUGCUCAGCUACACUGUAGUCCGGUGAGGGGUGUCACAGGCUACUUUUUCAACUAGCUGGAACAUUUACCACUUGAGAGGAUCUUUCACAAGCCUUCUUAGCAAGGUACUUUCCACCUACAAGGAUUGUGAAAUUGAGAGUAGAGCCGAAUACUUUCAGGCAAAGGAAAGGAGAAUCACUGUAUGAUGCAUGGGAAAGGUACAAAGACCUUCAAAGGGAGUGCCCAUACCAUGACAUAGAGGACUAGCUCCUAGUUCAAAACUUUUACAAUGGAUUGCUACCGUCUAUAAGGAUUACAGUUGAUUCAGCAGCAGGAGGAG